RNAcentral lists this ribosomal RNA (562 nucleotides) under uncultured bacterium. RNAcentral's name for it is "bacterial SSU rRNA". It matches the Rfam family "Bacterial small subunit ribosomal RNA", at positions 338 to 915 of the family's 1533-position model. The record is from RNAcentral.
CCUACGGGAGGCAGCAGUGGGGAAUAUUGGGCAAUGGAGGAAACUCUGACCCAGCGACGCCGCGUGCGGGAUGAAGGCCUUCGGGUUGUAAACCGCUUUCAGCAGGGAAGAAGCGAAAGUGACGGUACCUGCAGAAGAAGCACCGGCUAACUAUGUGCCAGCAGCCGCGGUAAUACAUAGGGUGCAAGCGUUGUCCGGAAUUAUUGGGCGUAAAGAGCUCGUAGGUGGUUCGUCACGUCGGAUGUGAAAAUCUGGGGCUUAACCCCAGACCUGCAUUCGAUACGGGCGAGCUUGAGUAUGGUAGGGGAGUCUGGAAUUCCUGGUGUAGCGGUGGAAUGCGCAGAUAUCAGGAGGAACACCAAUGGCGAAGGCAGGACUCUGGGCCAUUACUGACACUGAGGAGCGAAAGCGUGGGGAGCGAACAGGAUUAGAUACCCUGGUAGUCCACGCCGUAAACGGUGGGCACUAGUUGUGGGGACCUUCCACGGUCUCUGCGACGCAGCUAACGCAUUAAGUGCCCCGCCUGGGGAUACGNUCGCAGAUUAAACUUAAUAGAUUGACG